CCUACGGGUGGCAGCAGUGGGGAAUCUUCCGCAAUGGGCGAAAGCCUGACGGCGCAACGCCGCGUGAUCGAAUGACGGCCUUCGGGUUGUAAAAAUCUGUUGACAGGGACGAAUAAGCAAUGCAAAUAGUGUUGUGUAUGACGGUACCUGUUUAGACAGCUCCGGCUAACUACGUGCCAGCAGCCGCGGUAAUACGUAGGGAGCAAGCGUUGUCCGGAAUUACUGGGCGUAAAGGGCGCGUAGGUGGGCGCUUAAGUCAGGUGUGAAAACGCCGGGCUCAACCUGGAGACUGCAAUUGAAACUGGGUGUCUUGAGGGCAGGAGAGGAAAGUGGAAUUCCGAGUGUAGCGGUGAAAUGCGUAGAUAUUAGGAGGAACACCAGUGGCGAAGGCGACUUACUGGACUGUAACUGACACUGAGGCACGAAAGCGUGGGGAGCAAACAGGAUUAGAUACCCCUGUAGUC
RNAcentral lists this ribosomal RNA (464 nucleotides) under uncultured bacterium. Its description in RNAcentral is "partial 16S ribosomal RNA". It matches the Rfam family "Bacterial small subunit ribosomal RNA", at positions 338 to 795 of the family's 1533-position model. The record is from RNAcentral.